AUUGAAUUUACCACAGGUGGACUUCAUCCUUGAUGUUUCUAAAAAUGGAUGGAAACAUGAUGCAAAGGGUCUGAAUACUAAGGUACUACAGAUGAUUAAUUUAUUAUAUAUUAGAAACAACCUGUUUUCGCUUUGUCAUUAUAGGGUAUUGUGUGUAGAUUGAGGGGGAAAACAAUAUUUAAUCAAUUUUAGAAGGCUGUAACGUAACAAUGUGGGAAGAGUCAAGGGAUCUGAAUACUUUCCGAAUGCAUUGUGUGAACAAAAUAAAUGACAUGGCCGGCUGCCCAUGAGCAUGUUUAAAAAAUUGCACAAUUGUUCUGUUGUCAAUCAUUUAUAUUGAGUAUUUGGCUGACCAGUGGGCAACGGCCAGACUCCCUACCAAGAUGCCCGCUUUUCUGGUUGGAUGAGCUGGCGCAAUUUCACAUUCAAAGUCAGUGAGACCCGCUCUGACUGUUCGGGCUCAGGCGCGAAGUGUUUAGGCCACUCAAGCUCACAAAAUGAGACCACCGAUGCAAUCUUCGCUCUCUCCCACUACUCUUCCAUCCCAUCCACUUCCUUCUGUGAAAUACUCCCUUCUGUCUCUUGACUGCCUUUUCAACCCGACUCUCCUCCCAUCCUUUGACACCAACUGUCCCCUUUCCUCCCGGGCAGCCCGAUCCUCCUCUCCAUGACUGAGUGACUCACUACGUGCUAACAGAACAGGGUUGCUAACAGAACAGGGUUGCUAACAGAACAGGGUUGCUAACAGAACAGGGUUGCUAACAGAACAGGGUUGCUAACAGAACAGGGUUGCUAACAGAACAGUUACACAGAACUGGAAGAAAACUAAACUUCCGGAGGACCUAUCAUCCUUCCACUCUCUCUACGUAGCAAGUACGCACGAUUACAUUGGGUCCAGGCCAAGGCCGGACUGUCUCCUGAACUCGCCGUUUAACAGAUCCGGAGAUUGGAGGGAUGAGAGAGUGGGCAGAAACGGUUAAGGGCGACUGACCCAGAGACAGAGAGCUGCCGAAGCGCCUCCCCUUCCCCCAGGCGAUCCUUCUCCAUCUUGAGGCGCUCCCUCUCCACCUGCAGGCGCUCUGUCUCCACCCUCAAGCGCUCUCUAUCCAGCUGGAGCCGGUUCUUCUCCACAUCCAGGAUUUGUUGGAGCAGAUUGGCUUGGGGGCCUUGUGGUGUCCAGCCAGACGUGAUGGGUUGGGGUGUAGAGUCAGAGUGGAUGGAGUGAGCUGGUGCAGGACAGGAGGUGAUGGGUUGGGGAGCAAAGCCAGAGUGGAUGGAAUGAGCUGGUGCAGGACAGGAGGUAAUGGGUUGGGGAGCAAAGCCAGAGUGGAUGGAAUGAGCUGGUGCAGGACAGGAGGUGAUGGGUUGGGGAGCAAAGCCAGAGUGGAUGGAAUGAGCUGGUGCAGGACAGGAGGUGAUGGGUUGGGGUGCGGUGCCAGAGAGUGCAUCUGCAUUGCUUGCUAUUUGGGGUUUCAGGCUGGGUAUCUGUAAAGCACUUUGUGACAACUGCUGAUGUAAAAAGGGCUUUAUAAAAUAAAUUUGAUUCAUUGAUUGAGAGUGGAUUGAGUGAGCUGGUGCAGGACGGGAGGUGAUGGGUUGGGGUGGCACUGUUGGUGCUGGCCAAGGUGUUGAUGGUGAGGUGGAGGGUAGCUCCUCCAUGGUGACAGAGGGUAAAGCUGCCUCCACAGUUCCCUCUGCUGCUGGUGGGGGACCAGAGCUGGAGAUUUCUCCCUGAGAGAGACCUGGACAAGACGAUUCGGUCAAUAUUAUUUAAGAUAUUUUAUAUUAUUUAUCACUUCUUGUUGAAAUUAUUUAUUUUAAAUUGUCAUGUUUUCCGUUGGUAAACCAUUGUGACAUUAUGUUUUUUAAUUCAAAAAAAGAAUACACUUAAAUUAUUCCUGG
Oncorhynchus tshawytscha (Chinook salmon) is the source of this 1902-nucleotide long non-coding RNA. The record is from Ensembl. NCBI's taxonomy places the organism in Eukaryota, Metazoa, Chordata, Actinopteri, Salmoniformes, Salmonidae.